RNAcentral lists this ribosomal RNA (468 nucleotides) under uncultured bacterium. RNAcentral's name for it is "partial 16S ribosomal RNA". It matches the Rfam family "Bacterial small subunit ribosomal RNA", at positions 28 to 507 of the family's 1533-position model. The record is from RNAcentral.
GACGAACGCUGGCGGCGUGCUUAACACAUGCAAGUCGAACGGAAAGGCCCUGCUUUUGUGGGGUGCUCGAGUGGCGAACGGGUGAGUAACACGUGAGUAUCCUGCCCUUGUCUUUGGGAUAACUUCAGGAAACUGGGGCUAAUACCGGAUAGGAGCUCCUGCUGCAUGGUGGGGGUUGGAAAGUUUCGGCGGUUGGGGAUGGAAUCGCGGCUUAUCAGCUUGUUGGUGGGGUAGUGGCUUGCCAAGGCUUCGACGGGUAGCCCGCCUGAGCGGGUGACCGGCCACAUUGGGACCGAGAUACGGCCCAGACUCCUACGGGAGGCAGCAGGGGGGAAGAUUGCACAAGGGGCGGAAGCCGGAUGCAGCAACGCCGCGUGCGGGAUGACGGCCUUCGGGUUGUAAACCGCUUGCGCCUGUGACGAAGCGUGAGUGACGGUAAUGGGUAAAGAAGCACCGGCUAACUACGGG